CAGCUCAGAAUCAACGCUGGCGGCGUGCCUAACACAUGCAAGUCGAACGAGAAAAUCCGGCUGUAGCAAUACAGCCGGGUGAGUAAAGUGGCGUACGGGUGAGUAACACGUAGCUAACCUACCCUUGAGCGGGGGAUAACCUGGGGAAACCCGGGCUAAUACCGCAUAACAUCCCGGCAGCACAGGCUGUUGGGAUCAAAGGCCCGCAAGGGUCACUCGAGGAGGGAGUUGCGGCCGAUUAGCUAGUUGGUGAGGUAACGGCCCACCAAGGCGAUGAUCGGUAGCCGGCCUGAGAGGGCGCACGGCCACACUGGCACUGAAACACGGGCCAGACUCCUACGGGAGGCAGCAGUGGGGAAUUUUGCACAACGUCCGAAAGGGUGAUGCAGCAACGCCGCGUGAGGGAUGAAGGCCUUCGGGUCGUAAACCUCUUUCGACCGGGAAAAACGGCCCGCUGAAUAGGCGGGUCUGAUGGUACUGGUGAAGAAGCUCCGGC
RNAcentral lists this ribosomal RNA (496 nucleotides) under uncultured bacterium. RNAcentral's name for it is "bacterial SSU rRNA". It matches the Rfam family "Bacterial small subunit ribosomal RNA", at positions 20 to 497 of the family's 1533-position model. The record is from RNAcentral.